AGAGUUUGAUCAUGGCUCAGGACGAACGCUGGCGGUGUGCUUAAUACAUGCAAGUCGAGCGAAGAGGCCCUUUCGGGGGUACUUCAGCGGCGGACGGCUGAGUAAUGCAUAGGUAACGUGCCCUUCACUGGGGGAUAACACCGGGAAACUGGUGCUAAUACCGCAUAAGUGCCGAGUUGAAAUACUCGUCAUUAAAGAAUUUCGGUAAGGGAUCGGCCUGUGUCGGAUUAGCUUGUUGGUGGGGUAAUGGCCUACCAAGGCGACGAUCCGUAGUUGGUCUGAGAGGAUGACCAGCCAGAGUGGGACUGAGACACGGCCCACACUCCUACGGGAGGCAGCAGUAGGGAAUAUUGCGCAAUGGGCGAAAGCCUGACGCAGCAACACCGCGUGUAGGAUGAAGGUUUUCGGAUCGUAAACUACUGUCGGCAGGGAAUACAAUGACUGUACCUGCAAAGGAAGCAUCGGCUAACUACGUGCCAGCAGCCGCGGUAAUACGUAGGAUGCAAGCGUUGUCCGGAAUUAUUGGGCGUAAAGAGUUCGUAGGUGGUUAUCUAAGUCUGGUGUUAAAGCCCGGAGCUCAACUCCGGCAUGGCAUUGGAAACUGGAUGGCUAGAGUGUGAAAGAGGUAACUGGAAUUCCUGGUGUAGCGGUGAAAUGCGCAGAUAUCAGGAGGAACACCCGUGGCGAAAGCGAGUUACUGGUUCACUACUGACGCUGAGGAACGAAAGCCAGGGUAGCAAAAGGGAUUAGAUACCCCUGUAGUCCUGGCCGUAAACGAUGGAUACUAGGUGUUGGAGGUUUCGACCCCUUCAGUGCCGUAGCUAACGCGAUAAGUAUCCCGCCUGGGGAGUACGACCGCAAGGUUGAAACUCAAAGGAAUUGACGGGGACCCGCACAAGCGGUGGAACAUGUGGUUUAAUUCGAUGCAACGCGAAGAACCUUACCUGGGCUUGACAUCUAGAGAACCUUCCAGAGAUGGGAGGGUGCCGCAAGGAACUCUAAGACAGGUGGUGCACGGUUGUCGUCAGCUCGUGUCGUGAGAUGUUGGGUUAAGUCCCGCAACGAGCGCAACCCUCGUGGUCUGUUGUUACAGAGCGUAAGCUGCUGAACCCUCAGGCCAGACUGCCGGUGAUAAACCGGAGGAAGGUUGGGAUGACGUCAAAUCAUCACGCCCCUUAUGUCCAGGGCUACACACGUGUUACAAUGGGAAGAGGACAAUGGGCAGCUUGGCAGCGAUGUCUGGCAAAUCCUGAAACCUCCCCUCAGUUCGGAUCGGAGUCUGCAACUCGACUCCGUGAAGUCGGAAUCGCUAGUAAACGCAGAUCAGCACGCUGCGUUGAAUACGUUCCCGGGUCUUGUACACACCGCCCGUCACACCACGAAAGAAGGUAAUGCCCGAAGUCGGUAUCCUAACCCUCGGGAGGGGGCCGCCUAAGGUAGUGCUUUUGAUUGGGGUGAAGUCGUAACAAGGUA
RNAcentral lists this ribosomal RNA (1473 nucleotides) under metagenome. Its description in RNAcentral is "bacterial SSU rRNA". It matches the Rfam family "Bacterial small subunit ribosomal RNA". The record is from RNAcentral.